GCCCCUGUGGCGGAACUGGUAGACGCGCGGGAUUCAAAAUCCCGUUCCCGCAAGGGAGUGUCCGUUCGAUUCGGACCAGGGGCACCA
RNAcentral lists this transfer RNA (87 nucleotides) under Pseudomonadota bacterium. RNAcentral's name for it is "tRNA-Leu". The record is from RNAcentral. RNAcentral also lists the same sequence under 2 other names. Lineage: Bacteria; Pseudomonadati; Pseudomonadota.